This 324-nucleotide ribosomal RNA is filed under the name Arytainilla delarbrei. RNAcentral's name for it is "partial 12S ribosomal RNA". Lineage: Eukaryota; Metazoa; Arthropoda; Insecta; Hemiptera; Psyllidae. The record is from RNAcentral.
GAGUAGUAUCAGUUAAGAUCUUGAAACUCAAAAAAUUUGGCGGUAUUUUAUCUUGUUAGAGGAACCUGUUUAUUAAUUGAUAUCCCACAACUUAAAUUUACUUUUUUAAAGUUAUUUGUAUACCGUUGUCAUGAAUCUACUAGAAAGUAAUUUUCAAGAUUUUUUAUAUAAUUUAUGUUAGAUCAAGGUGCAGUUUAUGAAAGUAGAAAAUGGGUUACAUUAGUGAAGAUGAAUGAAAAUUAUUGUUAGAAAAUAGUGGAAAAAGGAUUUAAAAGUAAGGAGAAAUUUGUAAAGAUUUUUUAUGAAUAAAGAUUCUAAAAUAUG